GAUGAACGCUGGCGGCGUGCCUAAUACAUGCAAGUCGAACGAGGUGCCUUUGUAGCAAUACGGAGGUAUCCUAGUGGCGAACGGGUGAGUAACGCGUUGGUGACCUACCCCGAAGUCUGGGAUAACAGUUCGAAAGGACUGCUAAUACCGGAUGUGGUCAUCGGAUUUAGAAACCGAUGUCUAAAGGAUUUAUUCGCUUCGGGAGGGGCCUGCGUCCCAUCAGCUAGUUGGUAGGGUAAUGGCCUACCAAGGCGACGACGGGUAGGGGACCUGAGAGGGUGACCCCCCACAAUGGAACUGAAACACGGUCCAUACACCUACGGGUGGCAGCAGUAGGGAAUAUUGCACAAUGGGCGAAAGCCUGAUGCAGCAACGCCGCGUGUGCGAAGAAGGCCUUCGGGUCGUA
This 406-nucleotide ribosomal RNA is filed under the name uncultured bacterium. RNAcentral's name for it is "bacterial SSU rRNA". It matches the Rfam family "Bacterial small subunit ribosomal RNA", at positions 28 to 427 of the family's 1533-position model. The record is from RNAcentral.